UUAUACAAUUUAUUACGAUGUUAGAUUUUUCAUUUUCGGUAUUUGUGCGGCUCUCAAAUGCUGCGCAUGAACUUGUGGUUGUGAUCAGUUACUUAAUCAUUUUACCAUAAACAUCUCUUAAGAACUCAUCAUUGCAUUAUGAUUGUUCUUUUAUUUUUUUAGGGUUGUAAAGAAGAUGAAACCCAAGGUUGGAAUCUCAGGUCCCUGAGAAAGAUGUUUCCAAAGACAAGCAUUAAAUUAUCUUAGGUAGGGAUUAGGAAGCUGCUUAUGCAAACUAGUCUGAACCUGCUCUAUGCUGUUACCUUUUUUGAAGAUCUUGAAUAAAACUAAUCUCGUUGAGAGGUUCCCAAUAUACGACUAUUGUAGAAUAUGCACCAUCUCAACGUGUUCCAAAACUGUGGGCUAAAAAAGAUGGCCGUGAAUGGACCAUAUUCAAAGGUGAUAAUAUUUUAUUACGAAAAGAAGAAUACAAAAAUAAAGAAUGAAGCUGGCGAUGAGACAUCACCACUUCGGAUAAGGACUCCUCUUCCCAAGAUGGUUCAAAAACCC
Magnolia sinica is the source of this 549-nucleotide long non-coding RNA. RefSeq lists it as uncharacterized. NCBI's taxonomy places the organism in Eukaryota, Viridiplantae, Streptophyta, Magnoliopsida, Magnoliales, Magnoliaceae. The transcript has 3 exons. The record is from RefSeq and is a predicted model, not a curated record.